CCUACGGGUGGCAGCAGUGGGGAAUAUUGGACAAUGGGCGAAAGCCUGAUCCAGCCAUGCCGCGUGUGUGAAGAAGGCCUUCGGGUUGUAAAGCACUUUCAGUGGGGAAGAAAGCCUUGGGGCUAAUACCCUCGAGGAAGGACAUCACCCACAGAAGAAGCACCGGCUAACUCCGUGCCAGCAGCCGCGGUAAUACGGAGGGUGCGAGCGUUAAUCGGAAUUACUGGGCGUAAAGCGCGCGUAGGCGGUCUGAUAAGCCGGUUGUGAAAGCCCCGGGCUGAACCUGGGAACGGCAUCCGGAACUGUCAGGCUAGAGUGCAGGAGAGGAAGGUAGAAUUCCCGGUGUAGCGGUGAAAUGCGUAGAGAUCGGGAGGAAUACCAGUGGCGAAGGCGGCCUUCUGGACUGACACUGACGCUGAGGUGCGAAAGCGUGGGUAGCAAACAGGAUUAGAUACCCUUGUAGUC
RNAcentral lists this ribosomal RNA (465 nucleotides) under Vreelandella stevensii. RNAcentral describes it as "partial 16S ribosomal RNA". It matches the Rfam family "Bacterial small subunit ribosomal RNA", at positions 338 to 795 of the family's 1533-position model. The record is from RNAcentral. Lineage: Bacteria; Pseudomonadati; Pseudomonadota; Gammaproteobacteria; Oceanospirillales; Halomonadaceae.